GCCAGGCGUGGUGGUGCACGCCUGUAAUCCCAGCUAUUCAGGAGGCUGAGGCAGGAGAAUUGCUUGAACCCAGGAGGCGGAGGUUGCAGUGAGCUGAGAUCAUGCCACUGCACUCCAGCCUGGGUAACAGAGCGAGACUCUGUCUCAG
Molecule: signal recognition particle RNA, 148 nt
Filed under: Pan troglodytes (chimpanzee)
Lineage: Eukaryota; Metazoa; Chordata; Mammalia; Primates; Hominidae
Description: Metazoan signal recognition particle RNA
Rfam family: Metazoan signal recognition particle RNA
About the family: The signal recognition particle (SRP) is a universally conserved ribonucleoprotein. It is involved in the co-translational targeting of proteins to membranes.
Source: Rfam by way of RNAcentral